Molecule: ribosomal RNA, 595 nt
Filed under: uncultured bacterium
Lineage: Bacteria
Description: bacterial SSU rRNA
Rfam family: Bacterial small subunit ribosomal RNA
Source: RNAcentral
AGAGUUUGAUCCUGGCUCAGAGCGAACGCUGGCGGCAGGCCUAACACAUGCAAGUCGAGCGGACGUAGCAAUACGUCAGCGGCAGACGGGAGAGUAACACGUGGGAACGCGCCCUUCGGUUCGGAAUAACUCAGGGAAACUUGGGCUAAUACCGGAUACGCCCUAACGGGGAAAGAUUUAUUGCCGAAGGAACGGCCCGCGUCCGAUUAGCUUGUUGGUGAGGUAACGGCUCACCAAGGCGACGAUCGGUAGCUGGUCUGAGAGGAUGACCAGCCUCACUGGGACUGAGACACGGCCCAGACUCCUACGGGAGGCAGCAGUGGGGAAUAUUGGACAAUGGGCGCAAGCCUGAUCCAGCCAUGCCGCGUGGGUGAUGAAGGCCCUAGGGUUGUAAAGCCCUUUCGGCGGGGAAGAUAAUGACGGUACCCGCAGAAGAAGCCCCGGCUAACUUCGUGCCAGCAGCCGCGGUAAUACGAAGGGGGCUAGCGUUGCUCGGAAUUACUGGGCGUAAAGCGCACGUAGGCGGCUUCUUAAGUCGGUGGUGAAAUCCUGGAGCUCAACUCCAGAACUGCCUUCGAUACUGGGGAGCUCGAGU